This is a microRNA precursor of Gadus morhua (Atlantic cod), 57 nucleotides long. Lineage: Eukaryota; Metazoa; Chordata; Actinopteri; Gadiformes; Gadidae. The record is from Ensembl.
ACGCCUCGACAUCCUGUCCAUGUAUAUCACAAACAGGAUUGGUGACAAGGCGCAGCC